RNAcentral lists this ribosomal RNA (511 nucleotides) under uncultured eukaryote. RNAcentral's name for it is "SSU rRNA". It matches the Rfam family "Eukaryotic small subunit ribosomal RNA", at positions 41 to 555 of the family's 1831-position model. The record is from RNAcentral.
AGAUUAAGCCUGCAUGUCUCAGUAUAAGCUUCUAUACGGCGAAACUGCGAAUGGCUCAUUAAAACAGUUAUAGUUUAUUUGGUGGUCAGCAAUUACAUGGAUAACCGUGGUAAUUCUAGAGCUAAUACAUGCGUCCAAACCCGACUUCGUGGAAGGGUUGUGUUUAUUAGAUACAGAACCAACCCAGGCUCCGCCUGGCCUUGAGGUGAUUCAUAAUAACCGAACGAAUCGCAUGGCUAUGCCGGCGAUAGACCAUUCAAGUUUCUGACCUAUCAGCUAUCGUCGGUAGGGUAUUGGCCUACCGUGGCAAUGACGGGUAACGGAGAAUUAGGGUUCGAUUCCGGAGAGGGAGCCUGAGAAACGGCUACCACAUCUAAGGAAGGCAGCAGGCGCGCAAAUUACCCAAUCCUGACGCAGGGAGGUAGUGACAAGAAAUAACAAUACAGGGCAUACAUGUCUUGUAAUUGGAAUGAGUAAACUUUAAAUCACUUUACGAGUAUCAAUUGGAGGG